AACAGGCCAUCAAAUCUGCAUGAGGAAGCCAGCAGCCCUGGGCUCCGGGGCACAGGGGCGCAUCUGACACCUAAUUAAGCCAUCCCGGUAAACCAGCUCUAGAGCACCUGCCAUUAUUUUAGGAAACGGCAUAAAGAGAAUGAUAAUUAAAAGUAACACCCUGGGUGGGAACUUCUACUUCAUUCCAGCGCUGGCAAGUAAAGCACCUUGGGAAUUUUUGAAGAUGUCUUCCAAUCUCUCUGAGUGAUUACCUAUUCCUUUGGAUGGCUACAUGUAUACUGAUGUUCUCAGAAUUCCUUCCCCCUUCGUUGGAGCUGGAUUCACCCCAACUGCUAUGAAUCAGGAGACCAGGAUUCAAGCUUAUGAUCUAUGUUUAACUAGAAUAUGGACCCUGGACUGAUUGGCUACUCAUCGGUCACAAGUUUCCAUGAUUCAACUGGAUGGGCAAAAAAGGACAGGGAGAAGACAAGGAAGGGUUGGAGGGGCGACAUUUUAACAACUAAUGCAGAGACAGCUGCAUGACUGGAACCUCAGAGACAACAACUACACAAGAGCUGAAGAGUGAAAGAGAAUAUGUAAAGUAUUUUUUCAAGCUGUGGUUUCCAGUAAUCCAGUUUCCCUCCCUGAAGUGUCUAACAUAGAUAGGUUAGGUUAGGCAAGAAACUGAGACAACCAAGAGAUACCAAAAUCAGGCAAAAUAGAAGAUUGUCUUUCUUAUAUAAUAAUUUGAAAGAAAGUGCUUCAGACUGAGGGUAGGUAGUGGUGAUGGCAGCUCUGAUCCAUGAAAAUUAAUGAUACAGUCCUCUCUGUUUUCAGGAUCACUCAUGUAUUCAUUGCCUUACAUAGCAACUAUGUUUCGAAGGUCUUUGAAUAGGUGCAUAUAUCUGUGCGUAGAUAGCGUAAAUAUAGAUCACAUAUAUACUUUUCAGGUUUGUAAAAUACUUUUUGCUCACAAACAUUACUUGUUGCUUUAAAAGCUAGAGUCCUAGGGUAGUUCUCCUCCUAAUAGGACACAAACAUGAAACAUUUCACUUCCAAUCUAAUCAUGUCUUCAUUGGGAGAGUGAAAAAAAGAUGGAAAAUUGGAGACUAGUUUUUCCAAACUUCAUCUGUCCAAUGGAGAUGUAAGGAGCCGUUCUGUCUACCUUGUAGGUUUUUUAUGAGAAUCACAUAUAUUUGAGAUUGCUUUGGUACAUAGUAAAGUGCUACACAAUGCUACUUAUUUAUAAUUUAACUUAGAAAAUUUCCAACAUUGGAUGCUUAAGAUAGCACCUUUAAAGAAAAUUAUUAUUGUUUGCCUAAUUCUCAGUUAUGUAAUUUUGAUUUUCAUAUAAUGUUGUUCUUAAAGGUAAGCCAGAGAGAGAGUGGUUACUCACUUUAAGAAAGGA
Condylura cristata (star-nosed mole) is the source of this 1387-nucleotide long non-coding RNA. RefSeq lists it as uncharacterized. NCBI's taxonomy places the organism in Eukaryota, Metazoa, Chordata, Mammalia, Eulipotyphla, Talpidae. The record is from RefSeq and is a predicted model, not a curated record. The transcript is spliced from 5 exons.